RNAcentral lists this ribosomal RNA (1473 nucleotides) under feces metagenome. Its description in RNAcentral is "bacterial SSU rRNA". It matches the Rfam family "Bacterial small subunit ribosomal RNA". The record is from RNAcentral.
AGAGUUUGAUCCUGGCUCAGGAUGAACGCUGGCGGCGCGCCUAACACAUGCAAGUCGAACGAUUAAAGCUUCUUCGGAAGUGUAUAAAGUGGCGAACGGCUGAGUAACACGUGGGUAACCUGCCUCUCUCAUUGGGAUAGCCUCGGGAAACCGUGGGUAAUACCGAAUACUCAAUCUCAAGCGCAUGCUAGAGAUUGGAAAGCUUUUGCGGAGAGAGAUGGGCCCGCGGCCUGUUAGCUUGUUGGUGUCACCAAGGCUGUAAUGGGUAGCCGGGUUGAGAGACCGACCGGCCAGAUUGGGACUGAGACACGGCCCAGACUCCUACGGGAGGCAGCAGUGGGGAAUCUUGCACAAUGGGCGAAAGCCUGAUGCAGCGACGCCGCGUGCGGGAUGAAGGCCUUCGGGUCGUAAACCGCUUUCAGCAGGGAAGAGGCCGUAAGGUGACGGUACCUGCAGAAGAAGCCCCGGCUAAAUACGUGCCAGCAGCCGCGGUAAUACGUAUGGGGCAAGCGUUAUCCGGAUUUAUUGGGCGUAAAGCGCGCGUAGGCGGCCUGUUAAGUCAGAAGUUAAAUGCGGGAGCUCAACUUCCGUCUGCUUUUGAUACUGGCAGGCUUGAGUUCGGUAGGGGAAGGUGGAAUUCCCAGUGUAGCGGUGGAAUGCGCAGAUAUUGGGAAGAACACCGAUGGCGAAGGCAGCCUUCUGGGCCGCAACUGACGCUGAGGCGCGAAAGCUAGGGGAGCAAACAGGAUUAGAUACCCUGGUAGUCCUAGCUGUAAACGAUGGACACUAGGUGUGGGGGAAAUUGAUCUUCCGUGCCGUAGCUAACGCAUUAAGUGUCCCGCCUGGGGAGUACGGUCGCAAGACUAAAACUCAAAGGAAUUGACGGGGGCCCGCACAAGCAGCGGAGCAUGUGGUUUAAUUCGAAGCAACGCGAAGAACCUUACCAGGGCUUGACAUAUAGGUGAGCCGGUGGAAACACCGGGGCCGAAAGGAGCCUAUACAGGUGGUGCAUGGCUGUCGUCAGCUCGUGUCGUGAGAUGUUGGGUUAAGUCCCGCAACGAGCGCAACCCCAUCAGGUAAUGCUGGGAACCCAUGCGAGACCGCCGGCGUUAAGCCGGAGGAAGGUGGGGACGACGUCAAGUCAUCAUGCCCCUUAUGUCCUGGGCUACACACGUGCUACAAUGGUCGGCACAACGGGCUGCGAACUCGCGAGAGUAAGCGAAUCCCUUAAAGCCGGCCCCAGUUCGGAUUGGAGGCUGCAACUCGCCUCCAUGAAGUCGGAGUUGCUAGUAAUCGCGGAUCAGCACGCCGCGGUGAAUGCGUUCCCGGGCCUUGUACACACCGCCCGUCACACCACCCGAGUCGUCUGCACCCGAAGUCGCCAGCCUAACCAUUUUGGAGGGAGGCGCCGAAGGUGUGGAGGGUAAGGGGGGUGAAGUCGUAACAAGGUAGCCGUACCGGAAGGUGCGGCUG